Molecule: ribosomal RNA, 253 nt
Filed under: uncultured bacterium
Lineage: Bacteria
Description: partial 16S ribosomal RNA
Rfam family: Bacterial small subunit ribosomal RNA
Source: RNAcentral
UACGUAGGGUGCGAGCGUUGUCCGGAAUUAUUGGGCGUAAAGAGCUCGUAGGCGGUCUGUCGCGUCUGCUGUGAAAACCCGAGGCUCAACCUCGGGCCUGCAGUGGGUACGGGCAGACUAGAGUGCGGUAGGGGAGAAUGGAAUUCCUGGUGUAGCGGUGGAAUGCGCAGAUAUCAGGAGGAACACCAAUGGCGAAGGCAGAUCUCUGGGCCGUAACUGACGCUGAGGAGCGAAAGCAUGGGGAGCGAACAGG